RNAcentral lists this long non-coding RNA (280 nucleotides) under Gossypium raimondii (Peruvian cotton). Its description in RNAcentral is "long non-coding RNA (GRAI_LNC002595)". Lineage: Eukaryota; Viridiplantae; Streptophyta; Magnoliopsida; Malvales; Malvaceae. The record is from RNAcentral.
GGGGGUAGCUAAUGAAAAUGGUGAAGAUGGGUUCCAUGGAGCCAGAGACUUUGAAGUGGUGAUAGUGGGAGUGAAAAGACCUGCUUGAGUUGCCAUGGGGAUGCUGAUUAUGGGUGUUAUCGAGGUGCAGUUGGGGUAUUGAUGUUUAUGGGGAGAGCUUGGAUUGAUGAAAGAAAAGAGGAUGAGAUGUUGACGGGGGUGGUAGAGUUUUGGAUUUAGAUCUUCGGAUAAGAUGAUGAUAUUAGUUGGACCAAUAGGAUACUGGAUUUUGAUGCUUCCC